UCUCGCGAAAAUAAAGUGUAACUUUAAAGCGUACGUUUUGUAACGUAAUUAUUUUUAUAAUUUUAAGAGUACGAAUCGAAAGUGGAAUUCUCUCGUCGAAUCGAGAGAUACUUUUUUGAAAACGGACGUCGCAUUGAGAUUAAAAAUUUCGAUUUCUCAAUUUCUCAAAUUUCUCUUCUUACUUCGCGAAAACUAUUAUCCGCUAGUUUCACUCUCAAUAUUGUAUAUAUAAAAUUAUAAUUUAGAAUUAUAAUGGAUAGAAAUUUGAUAAAUCGAGAAUAUUUUUCGCGAGAAGAAAUUAUUAAUCGAAAGUACGAUUCCUAACUUAAAAUCGAGAACUUUUGCGAGUUGCUCUCUCUCUCUUUCUCUUUCUCUUUCUCUCUGAGAGAUGUUUGCUGCGAAGAAUAUUAUUCAGAGUAACUUAACUUAGAAUUUUACUUUCAAAUAUAUUCGUACUCCGACUAUCGAAAGAUUACCAAGAGGACCAUUCAACGAUGGGCCGGAACCAUCCAUCAGAGGUCCGAUAGAGUAGUAUCAAGGAUGCUGGAUGUGGUGGAGCGAAGAUACCAGGGAACGAGCCAAAGUAAUCAUUAGCAGAUGGCCAAUUUGUUACGAUCAGAACUCGUGAAUUAUUAUUAUUAGAAAUUAUUAUUAUCGAUGUUUGAAAAAAGGAAUAUUGAAAAAGUCUUUUCAAAUCAUUCGAGAGAAAUCGCAUCAAAGAAGAAGAAGAAGAAGAAGAAGAAGAAGAUGAAAAAAAAAAAGAAAUUAAAUAGACCCGAGAAAGAAGGAGAAUCUUUCAUAUUUUUUCCAAAGAAAUUUAUGACGCGUCAACCGCUAGAACGGAAUAGAAUAGAAAAUUCCAAAACCGUGACGCAUCAUGGCCACCCUCGCCCUCUAUUGCUCGUAUUAAAGAAAAAUUAAAAAAAAAAAGAAAAAAGAAAAAAGAAACUCCAUAAGAAGAAAAAAAAAGGAAAAUCGACUUAAGGAAACGAAUAUAAGACAAGAAAGGAGUCCGGCGCAGAACCGUGAGAGAGAAGGAAAAACUUCACCGCCUUCUCUUCGAACAGAUUUUCCUACGGGGUAGGAGCGAUCCGUCGUCGUCCAAUUUGCCGUACGAAGCCAAUAGCCGUCGUCGUGUACGAGGCAUCGGAAAAAAAAAAAAAAAAAAAAAAAAAAAAAAAAAAAAAAGAAGGGACGACCCCUGCCACGACAGAGUCGCGCCGUUAUCCGAUAUUUGUGACCGAAAAUGGAGGCAGGGAAGACGAGGCGAGGAGACGAGGCCCUCUAGAAGGAAGGAGGUGACACAAGGCAAACUCGAAAGGAAACGAUCCCUUAUCGUACUUGUUCCGCUCGUACCCUUACCCUUUCCUUUCCUUUCCUUUCCUUUCCUUCCUUUUUUUCUCCCGAUCUUUUCUCGGCCAUCGCGAUAAUGGCUCAUCGAGACACGCGCUCCGUACCUCGUCGAUGGCAAAUACGAAAGGAGCGGCCGUUUAAACUCGAAUGCGACCCAUGGGACGGCCCGCCGUCGACGGUAAUAAAUAUGCAAAAUUUUGCUGGUCGGUCAAACGUGCUGGAGAUAUCGUUUUUUCUUUCUCUCUCUCGUUUUAAUUUUGUAACGUGAUUAGCAUUGAAUUCAUUGUACGAUACGUACAUGGAAUAUUGAUACGUUCGUGUUUGAAGAAUGAAGAAAGAAAGGAUUGAUUCUUUUAGAGGAUAGAACAAACAGGAAAGGAAAAUAUUAGCAUUCAAAAAUCUCGAUGGGAUAAAACUGUUAAAAUUUAUAAUUUAACAAAUGAAUAAUAAUCGAUAUUUUCCAAGAUAGGACAAAUUUUAUAAUUGGCCUUUUUAAAUUAUAAAUAUAUAAUUCUACGAAAGUGUUGAAUUAGAAAGAUGGAAUUAAUUUAUUUAUUAUAUAAUGCAUUAUAUUUGUCUCAAUGUUCCACUCACGUUCGUUAUUUCUGCAUCGUAAUCGAUUGAUUUCUUGGAACACAUCAGAUAAGUUAACUUUGUAAAAAUUAGAAGAUUGUAGAUCCACCAUGAUGAGUUGUGCAAAUUGAUUAUUGGAUCCAACGAAUAUAGACGAAUGAUACAUUUUCAUAUUUUUUUUAAAGAAGCUCCAAAGUAGCUAUAUAUUAUCAUUAUUUGUCGAUGAUAGAGAGAUUAAAUUUUUUUUUUUUUUUUGAGAGGUUUAUUUUAUCAAGUUGUUAAGAAAAAUGAAUCACAGGUGUUGAAUAACGUCGACACGGAUAAGAGAAAGUAUUUCUGAAUUGGAUUCGAAGGAAAUAGAAAGAGACGAUAUGUGAUCAAGUUCAAUUAGUAGCAGAUUAACUUGACACGUUGAAUCGUAUCAAUUUUUUGUUUCUCUCUUAUCGAGAUGUUUGUCGUUCUUUUAAAUUGAAUGGCAAAUAUUUAUCUUCGAGAUGGAAGUAGAAGAUUUUAUUAAGUGCGCACUUUAUGCAAAAGUAUGAGUAAACAAAGUGAUGAUAGUACGAAGAGAAUAAUAAUAAUGUGAAUUUUUUAAGUAUAGUGGGGAGUUAAAUGAAGUUGUUUGUGUUGCAAGAUGAUUGGCGAUUUUACACGCAUGAGAAUUUUUCUUGAAAUUGUUAAAAUCUGUUAAAUACAUCAAAACUAAUUUUAUUUUUGUUGCUUAAUUUUCUAAAUCUAGAAAUUGUAAUUGGAUGCAUUAAAAAGAGUGAUAGAUAAAAUUCUUUUUUUUUUUAAUAUGUUUUUUUUUAUAAUAACAAGUUUUUAUUUUUAAUGUUUAGAUUUGAAUACGAGCACAUUAAAGGUAAUUGUUUGAUAAAUUCAAGGCCGAGAAAUCAAGAUAUAUAGUCAGUACUAUAUAUUGCCAGUAGUACUGUGCUAAUAGAUAUGUUACAGAAGAAGGAAAUUCUUGUAAUUUACGGUAGUUGUUAACGAGAACAUAAUAUUUUCUUUUAGAAAAUAUCAUUUCUAAUUAAUUAAAUCGAUAUGAAAAUGAAUACAUUAUAUGGAGAAGCAACAAAUAUAAUAUGCAUCAUCGUAAGUAGAAGAUUAUUCAGUAAUUUAUAUCAACGAAUCAACAAAAUUUCAAAAUAUCACAUCAAGAUAGGAGAUUAUUCUUUCUACAAAUAAUUAAAAUGCACAAUUCGCGAUAUACGAAUAAACAGAUAAUUAAGAAUGAUUGAUAACGCUGAAAAAGAAGAAUUACUUAAAAAAAUGCCUUCAAUAAUAAUUAACCGUACAUCUCCGUAUUUAAGCAUUUAUUAUUUUAAUUUAUUUUAAUUAAUUGUAAUUUAAAACAAGUUUUUCUAAGCAAAACACCUCUUUGGAAGAUUUUUAUUGCACAAUUAAAAUUAUCAUAAUUUAAACACGAAGUAUACUCGAUGCGAUGCGAUCAUUCUAUACUCAAGAAACGAACUUUGAAUCAUUGUGUCAUUCUCUCGACAAUGCAGAGA
This is a long non-coding RNA of Apis laboriosa (Himalayan honeybee), 3437 nucleotides long. RefSeq lists it as uncharacterized. The transcript has 5 exons. The record is from RefSeq and is a predicted model, not a curated record. Lineage: Eukaryota; Metazoa; Arthropoda; Insecta; Hymenoptera; Apidae.